AAAGUGAAAAUAGGCUGCCAGCAAAUAAGCACUGGGCCUAUCCUUCCUUGGGCUUAGCAAUUAAACAUAACUAGAAACAAAAGUGAAAAUAUGCGCGGGCCACCCCUCCCUUAGGCCUCACAUUAAAUUUGGGCUGGAGCAAGGGGAAAGGGGUUGGUCUUUCUAAACUUGGGCCUUAUUUCUAUUUUAUUCUUACCCUACUUCUCAACAUGAAUCAAGAAAGAAUUGGGCUUUUAAAAAAUAAAAAUGUUGGGCAUUUGUGAAGUUCAAACUAGUUAGAAAUAUUUUUGGGUUGAGAAAUAUAUGACGAUAUGUGAUAUCACAAACAAAGCUUUGUUAUUUUGACAACUUGGCUACUAGCAAGACACCUACUUUGGCAACUCUCCUCGCUCGAAGACUUAGGGGAUUCUUACUAUAUGCUACUACACCUCGGUACUCAGAAGUUUCGUGAUUACUUAGUGACUUGGAUUUGUCAAGUCCCCAACAAAGAAGCUUUCCUCACUCGGGAACUUAAGGCAGCACUGUUUGUACCAUACUUGACCAAUCCCGAAACUACCGAGCACCGGUCAACGUCAUACCUUCAUGUACCCACUGAGGGGUUCAUGUUGAGGCAUCCCUGCCGAAGCAUAAGAGUUUCCCUCCAACCAGAAGGCCAAUCACAUCGCAACACAUGUCAACGUAAGAAUAAAGCUCAUAGAGUCCCACAUCGACUGUGAACAAAAGCUAAAGACUCUCCUCAACUAUAAAAGAAGACCAUUCUCCUACAAUUAAUCCCUAAUGUCAUUAUUGUACUUAAACCAGUCAUUAAGAAUCCAUUGAUGAUAAUUAUAAACCCUUCACUAUUAAUGAGAACUUCUCUACUUCGUGAACAUAUUUAGACUUAGGAGGAACCACGUACAUCUUGUAUUUGCUUUCCUAUCUCUAUCUAGUUGCAUAUUAUCCACACCAAGUGACCGAAGCAAUUGGGCGAAGGUCACAAACUUGACACUUUACAUUAUUCUAAAGUCUCACUGAUUUUGUACAUCAAUAAUCUUCGAAUGAAAAACAUAAAAAGAGCUGUUUAUAUUAUAAAAGUAAAAUUGUGACUGACAUUGUAGUAACUUACUAAUUAGUUAGCUACUGAAUGCCAUUGCUUGACAAGAUCCAUGCAUUAGGUUGUAGAUAAAAUAAAGAGUGGUGCUAUCUACACCUCUUUUAUUUUUCUGCCAUCGAAU
This 1214-nucleotide long non-coding RNA is filed under the name Malus domestica (apple). RNAcentral's name for it is "long non-coding RNA (MDOM_LNC000361)". Lineage: Eukaryota; Viridiplantae; Streptophyta; Magnoliopsida; Rosales; Rosaceae. The record is from RNAcentral.